RNAcentral lists this ribosomal RNA (458 nucleotides) under uncultured bacterium. Its description in RNAcentral is "partial 16S ribosomal RNA". It matches the Rfam family "Bacterial small subunit ribosomal RNA", at positions 339 to 795 of the family's 1533-position model. The record is from RNAcentral.
CUACCGGCGGCACCAGUAAGGAAUAUUGCGCAAUGGAGGCAACUCUGACGCAGCCAUGCCGCGUGCAGGAAGAAGGCCUUAUGGGUCGUAAACUGCUUUUAUUUAGGAAUAAACCCCCGAACGUGUUCGGGGCUGAAGGUACUAAACGAAUAAGCACCGGCUAACUCCGUGCCAGCAGCCGCGGUAAUACGGAGGGUGCAGCGUUAUCCGGAUUUAUUGGGUUUAAAGGGUGCGCAGGCGGGCUAUUAAGUCAGUGGUGAAAUCCCGGGGCUCAACUCCGGAACUGCCAUUGAUACUGAUAGUCUUGAGUUUGGUUGAAGUGGGCGGAAUGUAGCAUGUAGCGGUGAAAUGCAUAGAUAUGCUACAGAACACCAAUCGCGAAGGCAGCUCACUAAGCCAAAACUGACGCUCAUGCACGAAAGCGUGGGGAUCAAACAGGAUUAGAUACCCCGGUAGUC